UAGACCCUACGGGGGGCAGCAGUGAGGAAUAUUGGUCAAUGGGCGCGAGCCUGAACCAGCCAAGUCGCGUGAGGGAUGACGGUCCUACGGAUUGUAAACCUCUUUUGCCGGGGAGCAAGCGUGCGUUCGUGAACGCGCGUCGAGAGUACCCGGAGAAAAAGCAUCGGCUAACUCCGUGCCAGCAGCCGCGGUAAUACGGAGGAUGCGAGCGUUAUCCGGAUUUAUUGGGUUUAAAGGGUGCGUAGGCGGGAUGCCAAGUCAGCGUUAAAAGCCCGGGGCUCAACCCCGGCGUGCCGCUGAAACUG
RNAcentral lists this ribosomal RNA (305 nucleotides) under uncultured bacterium. RNAcentral's name for it is "bacterial SSU rRNA". It matches the Rfam family "Bacterial small subunit ribosomal RNA", at positions 332 to 635 of the family's 1533-position model. The record is from RNAcentral.